RNAcentral lists this ribosomal RNA (236 nucleotides) under Tremellales sp. RNAcentral's name for it is "partial large subunit ribosomal RNA". Lineage: Eukaryota; Fungi; Basidiomycota; Tremellomycetes; Tremellales. The record is from RNAcentral.
AAACGAUUGAAGUCAGUCGUGGCUCGGGGGUUCAGCCGGUCCUGCCGGUCCACUCCCCCUUGCCGGGUCAACAUCGGUUUGGACCGACGGAUAAGGGAGUCGGGAAAGUGGCACCUCCGGGUGUGUUAUAGCCCGGUUUCGCAUACGUCGGUCCAGACCGAGGAACGCAGCUCGCCUUCAUGGCCGGGGUUCGCCCACGUCCGAGCUUAGGAUGUUGACAUAAUGGCUUUAAACGA